Molecule: ribosomal RNA, 468 nt
Filed under: uncultured bacterium
Lineage: Bacteria
Description: bacterial SSU rRNA
Rfam family: Bacterial small subunit ribosomal RNA
Source: RNAcentral
GUCCAGACUCCUACGGGAGGCAGCAGUGAGGAAUAUUGGUCAAUGGGCGAGAGCCUGAACCAGCCAAGUCGCGUGAAGGAUGACGGCCCUACGGGUUGUAAACUUCUUUUGUCAGGGAGCAAUUGGGUCCACGCGUGGGCUUAGCGAGAGUACCUGAAGAAAAAGCAUCGGCUAACUCCGUGCCAGCAGCCGCGGUAAUACGGAGGAUGCGAGCGUUAUCCGGAUUUAUUGGGUUUAAAGGGUGCGUAGGCGGACAGUCAAGUCAGCGGUAAAAAUGCGGUGCUCAACGCCGUACAGCCGUUGAAACUGGCAGUCUUGAGUGGGCGAGAAGUAUGCGGAAUGCGUGGUGUAGCGGUGAAAUGCAUAGAUAUCACGCAGAACUCCGAUUGCGAAGGCAGCAUACCGGCGCCCGACUGACGCUGAGGCACGAAAGCGUGGGUAUCGAACAGGAUUAGAUACCCCGGUACU